AUUAGGCAUGCUAGUAGGAUUCAUUGUUACAUAUUCUUAAACACACACACAACAUAAAUUUGUCAGUGUCAUUCCCCAGUACCUCCCCUUUCCCUCCCCCACAAUCUACUUCUUUUUCAUACAGUGUCCACCUUUUCCAUUCUGAGUUUGACUUAUUUUGCUUAACAUCAUGGUCUCCAAUUCCAUCCAUUUUCCUGCAAAUGACAUAAUUUAUUUCUCUUUAUGGCUGAAAAAAAAUGCCAUUUUGUGUAUAUCCCCCCUCCUUUUUUAAAAAAAAUCUAUUCAUACCUAAGCUGGUUCCAUUGUGAAUUGUGCUGCUAUAAACAUGGAUAUGCAUGUAUCACUGCAGUAUGAUGAUUUAAAAUUUUCAGUUUAAGUACUGAGGAGUGGUACAGCUGGGUGGAUAUCCACACUGAUAUCCACUCUGAUUUCCUUAGUAUUUCCUUAGUGGUUGUACUGAUUUCCUUAGUAUUUCCUUAGUGGUUGUACUGACGGACAGUCCCACCAGCAGUGUCAGGGUACUUCUUCUCCUUUUUCUUUUUGUGGUGCUGGGGAUUGAACCCAGGGCUUUGUGCAUGCGAGGCAAGCACUCUACCAACUGAGCUAUACCUCCAGCUAUUAUUUGUUUUUCUGAUGACUCCCUUUCUGACUAAUGUGAGAUGAAAUCUCUGUGUAGUUUUGAUUUGCAUUUUGAUUGCUAAUGAUGUUGAACGUUUUUUCACGUAUUUGUUGUCCACUUAUGUCUCUUCUUUGGAGAAGUGUCUGUUUAAUUCAUUUGCCCAUUUAGUAGUUGAAUUAUUUGAUAUUUUGCUGUGAAGUUUUUUGAGUUCUCUAUAUAUUCCAGAUAUUCAUCGGUCAGAGAGUAGCAAGAUUCUCCCCAGUCUAUAGGCUCCCUCUUCACAUUCUCAAUUAUUCCUUGCGGUGCAGAAAGUUUUUAAUCUGAUGCUGACCCAUUUGUUACCUCUUGACAUUCUUUCCCGAGCUUUAGAGGUCCUAUUGAGAAAGUCCUUGCCUGGGCCUACUUGCUGGAGUGGUGACCCUACAUUUUCCUCUCAGAGUUGCAUAGUUUCUGGCCUAAUUCUCAGGCCUUUGGCUCAUUUUGAGUUGCUGUUUGUUCACGGUGAGAUGAGGGCGACUGGACGUUUUCUAUCCAUGCAUGCAUUCAUGGCCCCUGGACUUGGUUCCCUCGUUGGCUAUUUCUACUGCAAUGAAGGUAGGAUUUCAGAGCCUCCUCAGUAAGCUGAUUUAAGAUGGUUGGGAUUCAUGCCCAUUGGUGGGAUGCCUGGAUACAAGGUAGACCUACGGCCAGUGUUAUGGAACCGGCACAGUGUUUUCCUAAGAGCUCUAUUUACUUUCCCUCUCACCUGCAGUCUGUAAGGCCCUUUCUCUCCACCUUGACCAACACUGGUUGUCUCUUGUCUUUUUGAGAACACCCACUCUACCUGGGGUGAGAGGAGAUCUUAUUGUGGUUUAGAUUUGCAUCACCCUGGUGAUUAGUGACCUUGAACAAUCUUGUGUUCUUCUGAGAAAUUCAUACAUAAGUCUGAUGCCAUUUUUAAAUCGGGGAAUUUGUUUAUCUUGGCUUGUUGUUUUGUUUUGUUUUUACAAUUGAAGUUUUAGUUUAUUUUCCUAUUGAAUUUUGUCUUACACUUUUCUUUUGUUUGAUUGUAUAUGUUUUUGUUCUACAGUGUUUGGGAUAGAAAACAGUUUUGCAAAUGCUAGGAAAUUACUCCAUCAGUAAGAUAUACCCAUAGCCCUUGCUAUUGAAUUUUUAUGUCUUUUACGUACAAUCUGAAUAUGAAAUUUUUGUGAAUAGUUUUCAACUAUUCUGUAAGUUGUCUCUUCACCUUGUACAACAAUUCAUGUCCAUUCCAGUGGCCUAGGGCUUUCCUGCCUGUUGAGUUUACAUCUACCAGUUUUACCGUUUUGGGUCCUUUAAUCCAUUUGGAAUUGGUUUUAACUGGUGAGAGGCUCUAACUUCAUGGUUCUUCAGUGGGUAUGCAAGUUUUCCAGCACUGCUUUAUUGAAAAGGCUGUUUUUCUCGGGUGGCUGCAGACAUGUGGGUGUAGACACGUGGGUUCCUCCAAGCUCCCUACGCUGUCGAUCAUGUCUGAGUCUUUCUUAUGCU
Molecule: long non-coding RNA, 2128 nt
Filed under: Marmota monax (woodchuck)
Lineage: Eukaryota; Metazoa; Chordata; Mammalia; Rodentia; Sciuridae
Source: RNAcentral